UUUUCUUUCAUUACAUUGUAACAUGUUUCACACUAACACUUGCUAUAUUUAAUUACUUGAAAAUAUGCACUUGUAUCCCCAUUACCUCUUCAACUUUGGGGGUAGGGCCGAAUAGAAAAACUUACACAAUACAGAUGAACAUGCGCGGAAAGGGUGGCGGAACGUAAGGAGAUCUUUGACGUGAAGCUUUUGAUGACUUUAUUGUUAGAUAGACAAAAUAUUAAUCUUAUAGGUUGGUCAUCAUCUUUACUUCUAGUUCUUUCGACUUUGUCUUUUUCUAUCAAAUUGAAUUAGUGAUUUUUGAUUAGAGAACUAAAUAGUUGAAUCAUCAUAAAUUCUAAACCACAUUUCGCAUUAGAUAACUGAUAUUUCCACAAUAUUUUUUGAUAUUUUUACAGCAAAUGUAUCGCUAUAGAGGUAUAACGUCGCUAUAGGAUUUAUAGCGACGAUUUUGUUAUGAAAAUAUCAUUUUCUGUUGUUGAAAUAUCUGUUUCCUUCGCACGAAACUGUUAAUCUAUUUAUAAUAGAUAUUCUAGGUUAUCUAUAUGGUGGCCGAUGAGGUGUUGAAUCUAGUGGUUAAAACUGAGAUACUGAGACAAUGGUCUUUAAGUUCGAUUCUCAUCUUAAGCUAGUUUAUGUCUUCCAAAGUUCAAUUCUCACUUGAGUAAGUUUAUGUCUUCCAUUAUGGUUUCCACUUUAUGUGAGGCUUGUUUGUGAGUUUAUUUCUUUCUCCUUCAGUGAGAUUUGAUUGGUUCUUGUUAUGAGAAGUUUGUUUCCUCUUUUAUGUGAGACUUGUCUAUGAGUUUAUUUAUUCCUUCUUCAAUGAGAUUUGAUUGGUUUAAUGAUGAUGUCUUGGUUAUGAAAUAUGUUGUGUUCUGGGGCUUUCAAAAAGAAAAAAAAGGAGACUUAUAUGGUGGUCACAUGUAUAUAAAAUAGAUUAUAUUUUACUUAAAACUGAUUAGUAUAUGUUUUAUUCCAUAUUUCCAAGCACAAAAUAUAGUACUAGGAUUUAUUGCUAUCAGGAAUGGGUUUGAAUCAGCAGCAGAAGCGAGACCAUUAUUUGGCUUGCUUAUAAUGAAUGCUGAUGCAUGAACAAUCAAAAGCCUGGUGAAACUUAUGUGGUGCUUUAAAGGACUGAUUUCCCAUGGAAUAAAAACUCUUAAAUCUUUGCUUAUUUAAUUAGUCCAUUUUAAAGUCAAGUUCAAUUUGAAUUUGAAUAUGUUCAAGCUAAUGGAAACUUUGAAUUGGAAUAUGUUGACAUACUAUUGGUUCAAGUCAAAAACUACUAAAGGAAAAUGAUUUUAUUAGGAAGCAUGAAAAUGGAACAAGUUCAACACAUUGUUGAACACAGACUACUACAUAGUACAUACAUCAGUUUUCCCUCAACUGAUCAAACAAAAACAAAAAGUGAACUUCCCAAACAAGCCCAAUUAACAUUAGACAUCAUUAAAAAAAAACAGCAAAGGAUAGUUUGUGAUUAGAUGAUUUGCCAUAGAAAACUUUCCAUGAUCUUUGUGCAGCAUAUGGUACACAACACUCUCAGUGUAGUAAUAUCAUUUUGUUGGUUUGAAAUAAGAGCGUAGCCGUGCGGAUAGUUCAUCUCUAGGAGGCAAGCUUUGCUUGAUAAUGGUGGAGUUAAGGUAUUCAUUAGCCCAUUCACUUAAUCUGGGAAGCUUCUCACUUGUCAGCACUUGUAUCCCCAACAUCUCUUGAUAAAUUCCGAGCCAAAGACCUAUAAAAUUAGCAGAAAUAUCAGCCAGUCCAAUAGUCUCUCCACCAAAGAACUUC
This 1788-nucleotide long non-coding RNA is filed under the name Panax ginseng (ginseng). RNAcentral describes it as "long non-coding RNA (PGIN_LNC005826)". The record is from RNAcentral. Lineage: Eukaryota; Viridiplantae; Streptophyta; Magnoliopsida; Apiales; Araliaceae.